RNAcentral lists this ribosomal RNA (297 nucleotides) under uncultured bacterium. RNAcentral describes it as "partial 16S ribosomal RNA". It matches the Rfam family "Bacterial small subunit ribosomal RNA", at positions 794 to 1094 of the family's 1533-position model. The record is from RNAcentral.
UCCACGCCGUAAACGAUGAAUACUAGGUGUCGGGUUCUUAGAACUCGGUGUCGCAGCUAAUGCAUUAAGUAUUCCACCUGGGGAGUACGAUCGCAAGGUUGAAACUCAAAGGAAUUGACGGGGGCCCGCACAAGCAGUGGAGCAUGUGGUUUAAUUCGAUUCAACGCGAAGAACCUUACCUAGACUUGAAACGCUGUGGACAACUUGCGAAAGCAAGCUUCUCUUCGGAGCCGCAGUACAGGUGCUGCAUGGCUGUCGUCAGCUCGUGCCGUGAGGUGUUGGUUAAGUCCCGCAACG